GAUGAACGCUGGCGGCGUGCCUAAUACAUGCAAGUCGAGCGAACAGACGAGGAGCUUGCUCCUCGGACGUUAGCGGCGGACGGGUGAGUAACACGUGGAUAACCUACCUAUAAGACUGGGAUAACUUCGGGAAACCGGAGCUAAUACCGGAUAAUAUAUUGAACCGCAUGGUUCAAUAGUGAAAGCCGGUUUUGCUGUCACUUAUAGAUGGAUCCGCGCCGCAUUAGCUAGUUGGUAAGGUAACGGCUUACCAAGGCAACGAUGCGUAGCCGACCUGAGAGGGGGAUCGGCCACACUGGAACUGAGACACGGUCCAGACUCCUACGGGAGGCAGCAGUAGGGAAUCUUCCGCAAUGGGCGAAAGCCUGACGGAGCAACGCCGCGUGAGUGAUGAAGGUCUUCGGAUCGUAAAACUCUGUUAUUAGGGAAGAACAAAUGUGUAAGUAACUAUGCACGUCUUGACGGUACCUAAUCAGAAAGCCACGGCUAACUACGUG
RNAcentral lists this ribosomal RNA (497 nucleotides) under uncultured bacterium. Its description in RNAcentral is "partial 16S ribosomal RNA". It matches the Rfam family "Bacterial small subunit ribosomal RNA", at positions 28 to 507 of the family's 1533-position model. The record is from RNAcentral.